CACUGCCGAGAAAAGCCUCUAGAUAGAAAAUAGGUGCCCGUACCGCAAACCGACACAGGUAGUCAAGAUGAGAAUUCUAAGGUGAGCGAGCGAACUCUCGUUAAGGAACUCGGCAAAAUGACCCCGUAACUUCGGGAGAAGGGGUGCUCUUUAGGGUUAACGCCCAGAAGAGCCGCAGUGAAUAGGCCCAAGCGACUGUUUAUCAAAAACACAGGUCUCUGCUAAACCGUAAGGUGAUGUAUAGGGGCUGACGCCUGCCCGGUGCUGGAAGGUUAAGAGGAGUGGUUAGCUUCUGCGAAGCUACGAAUCGAAGCCCCAGUAAACGGCGGCCGUAACUAUAACGGUCCUAAGGUAGCGAAAUUCCUUGUCGGGUAAGUUCCGACCCGCACGAAAGGCGUAACGAUUUGGGCACUGUCUCAACGAGAGACUCGGUGAAAUCAUAGUACCUGUGAAGAUGCAGGUUACCCGCGACAGGACGGAAAGACCCCGUGGAGCUUUACUGUAGCCUGAUAUUGAAAUUCGGCACAGCUUGUACAGGAUAGGUAGGAGCCUUUGAAACGUGAGCGCUAGCUUACGUGGAGGCGCUGGUGGGAUACUACCCUAGCUGUGUUGGCUUUCUAACCCGCACCACUUAUCGUGGUGGGAGACAGUGUCAGGCGGGCAGUUUGACUGGGGCGGUCGCCUCCUAAAAGGUAACGGAGGCGCUCAAAGGUUCCCUCAGAAUGGUUGGAAAUCAUUCAUAGAGUGUAAAGGCAUAAGGGAGCUUGACUGCGAGACCUACAAGUCGAGCAGGGUCGAAAGACGGACUUAGUGAUCCGGUGGUUCCGCA
This 829-nucleotide ribosomal RNA is filed under the name Staphylococcus aureus. RNAcentral's name for it is "partial 23S ribosomal RNA". It matches the Rfam family "Bacterial large subunit ribosomal RNA", at positions 1603 to 2433 of the family's 2925-position model. The record is from RNAcentral. Lineage: Bacteria; Bacillati; Bacillota; Bacilli; Caryophanales; Staphylococcaceae.